AGUAGGCCAUGUGGCCGCGUGCGGCACGGCGCAGGCCGUGAGCCGCAUGAGGAAAGUCCGAGCUCCAUAGGGCAGGGUGCUGGAUAACGUCCAGCGGAGGCGACUCCAGGGAAAGUGCAACAGAGAGAUACCGCCGCGCUUCGGCGCGGUAAGGAUGGAAAGGCGAGGUAAGAGCUCACCGGCGGGCCGGGCGACCGGCGCGUCCUGUAAACCCCACCCGGUGCAAGAUUGGAAUGGGAGCGCUUGCGGGGAAACCCGCAGAAAUGGCUGCCCGUCAGGCUCCUGAUAAUCGCGCGAGCGCGGCGGUGACGCCGGGCCAAGAUAGAUGGUCACACGCCGGGAGCGAUCCCGGCCGACAGAACUCGGCUUAUUGCUUGC
Molecule: RNase P RNA, 378 nt
Filed under: human gut metagenome
Description: Bacterial RNase P class A
Rfam family: Bacterial RNase P class A
About the family: Ribonuclease P (RNase P) is a ubiquitous endoribonuclease, found in archaea, bacteria and eukarya as well as chloroplasts and mitochondria. Its best characterised activity is the generation of mature 5'-ends of tRNAs by cleaving the 5'-leader elements of precursor-tRNAs. Cellular RNase Ps are ribonucleoproteins.
Source: RNAcentral